This 253-nucleotide ribosomal RNA is filed under the name uncultured bacterium. RNAcentral describes it as "partial 16S ribosomal RNA". It matches the Rfam family "Bacterial small subunit ribosomal RNA", at positions 524 to 776 of the family's 1533-position model. The record is from RNAcentral.
UACGGGGGGGGCAAGCGUUGUUCGGAAUUACUGGGCGUAAAGGGCUCGUAGGCGGCCAACUAAGUCGGACGUGAAAUCCCCAGGCUCAACCUGGGAACUGCGUCCGAUACUGGAUGGCUUGAAUCCGGGAGAGGGAUGCAGAAUUCCAGGUGUAGCGGUGAAAUGCGUAGAUAUCUGGAGGAACACCGGUGGCGAAGGCGGCUACCUGGACAAUUGCUGACGCUCAGGCACGAAAGCGUGGGGAGCAAAAGGG